Molecule: ribosomal RNA, 1436 nt
Filed under: Bacillus subtilis
Lineage: Bacteria; Bacillati; Bacillota; Bacilli; Caryophanales; Bacillaceae
Description: bacterial SSU rRNA
Rfam family: Bacterial small subunit ribosomal RNA
Source: RNAcentral
UAUAAUGCAGUCGAGCGAAUGGAUUAAGAGCUUGCUCUUAUGAAGUUAGCGGCGGACGGGUGAGUAACACGUGGGUAACCUGCCCAUAAGACUGGGAUAACUCCGGGAAACCGGGGCUAAUACCGGAUAACAUUUUGAACCGCAUGGUUCGAAAUUGAAAGGCGGCUUCGGCUGUCACUUAUGGAUGGACCAGCGUCGCAUUAGCAUAGCUUAGUGAGGUAACGGCUCACCAAGGCAACGAUGCGUAGACGACCUGACAGGGUGAUCGGCCACACUGGGACUGAGACACGGCCCAGACUCCUACGGGAGGCAGCAGUAGGGAAUCUUCCGCAAUGGACGAAAGUCUGACGGAGCAACGCCACGUGAGUGAUGAAGGCUUUCGGGUCGUAAAACUCUGUUGUUAGGCAAGAACAAGUGCUAGUUGAAUAAGCUGGCACCUUGAUCGGUACCUAACCAGAAAGCCACGGCUAACUACGUGCCAACAGCCGCGGUAAUAACGUAGGUGGCAAGCGUUAUCCGGAAUUAUUGGGCGUAAAGCGCGCGCAGGUGGUUUCUUAAGUCUGAUGUGAAAGCUCCACGGCUUCACACCGUGGAGGGUUCAUUGGAAACUGGGAGACUUGAGUGCAGAAGAAGGAAAGUGGAAUUUCCAUGUGUAGCGGUGAAAUGCGUAGAGAUAUGGAGGAACCACCAGUGGCGAAUGCGACUUUCUGGUCUGUAACUGACACGGAGGCGGCGAAAGCGUGGGGAGCAAACAGGAUUAGAUACCCUGGUAGUCCACGCCGUAAACGAUGAAGUGCUAAGUGUUAGAGGGGUUUCCGCCCUUUAGUGCUGAAGUUAACGCCAUUAACCACUCCGCCUGGGGAGUACGGCCGCAAGGCUGAAACUCAAAGGAAUGGACGGGGGCCCGCACAAGCGGUGGACCAUGUGGUUUAAUUCGAAGCAACGCGAAGACCCUUACCAGUUCUUGACAUCUCUGGACAACCUUAGAGAUAGGCUUCCUCCUUUCGGGAGCAGAGGGACAGGUGGUGCAUGGUUGUCGUUCAGCUCGUGUCGUGAGAUGUUGGGUUAAGUCCCGCAACGAACGCAACCCUUGAUCUUAGUUGCCAUCAUUCAGUUGGCCACUUCUAAGGGGACUGCCGGUGACAACCCGAGGGAACGGGGGGAGGACUUCAAAUCUAUCAUGACCCUAUAUGAACUUGGGUUCCACCCGGCUUCCAAUGGACGGUCCAAAGAGGCUGUCCAAGAACCUCGGGAGGGGUGAGUUAUCUUUCUUAAAACCUUUUUCAGUUGGGAUUUUAGGUUGCAAUUCGCUUACAGGAAGCGGGAAUCGCUGUAAAUCGGGGAUCAGCAGCCCGCGGGAAAUAGUUCCCGGGCCUUGUACACACCCCCCGUCACCACCAGGGAAUUUGUUACCCCCGAAGGUGGGGGGGUUACCC